Molecule: long non-coding RNA, 726 nt
Organism: Helianthus annuus (common sunflower)
Lineage: Eukaryota; Viridiplantae; Streptophyta; Magnoliopsida; Asterales; Asteraceae
Exons: 3
Source: RefSeq, a predicted model, not a curated record
GAAACCCCAGUCAAGCGUUGGUUUACCAAAGGUUGUUCAAGAUGGUGAUUGUCAGGGUUUAGGGUGAUUACGUAGAGGAACCAACGGUGUUUGGUUCUCGAUGGUAAAGUAUAUCUGCACACCUUUGUUGGUUUCAGAAUUGCAUAGAUUUUGGGCAUUUUUUUGUGUGUGUAAGCAUCGUUUUCAUUGAUUUGUCAUAUAUGUUCAUAUUUGGAUUUAUACAAUUUUCUAAGUUAAUCUUUCCUGUUUGCUGACUCUGUUUUCCUCCAUCUAUCUCUCUCUUUUUGUAGUUAGCCUUUCAAUCAAUGAAGAAUCUUGUUUCAUUUGAGUUAAACAUUGUUGCUUCUACAAUUACUUGAUUUUCCUUUUGUGAGUUAUCUAUAUAUUUUGUAACUAUUUGGCAUAUGAUAUGACAAUCAACUUAGACAUAUUCUGUUAGUUUGCGAGCAAAUAGUGGUAAUAGGUUGGAAAUGAAUGUAUACGAUUGUCGGAUUAUACAAUGCCUUCAACUCCUGAUCUGAGAAGGUGCAUACAUGUGGAUUUACAUGAGGUCGGCUCGACCCGUUUCAUCCUAAACAACAUGCAAAUUCAGUUUGGUUUAGAUGGUCGCGUCAAGACAAAUCAUUUUAUAUAUUUAAUUCUCAAUUGUAAGUUGCAUUGUCUUAUCUUUUUUGAGUAGUUACUAACAAAAUAUGUGUUUGUUUGUAUAUAUUUGCCUACAAAAUA